This is a long non-coding RNA of Alnus glutinosa, 618 nucleotides long. RefSeq lists it as uncharacterized. The transcript is spliced from 4 exons. The record is from RefSeq and is a predicted model, not a curated record. NCBI's taxonomy places the organism in Eukaryota, Viridiplantae, Streptophyta, Magnoliopsida, Fagales, Betulaceae.
UAUGUAAGCGCACGCCACGCAUUAAAAGGAGGCAGAGCCUCUUUUCUCUAGGCUAUUACGGAAAAACGGUGGCUUUCUCUCAAUUUCUCCUUGGUUCUUCGUAUAAAAAAAAAAUGCUGAUCUACGAAAAUCUAGCCAUUCGAUUUUAGAUCCGACUUCGGUAACGUGAUCCUCAAAGCUCGAUCUACGUUUUGACCGAACGUUUUGAGAUUUUCUGUGGUUUGGAGUUGGUAGGAGCUUCCCGAACAUUUGGUCUUUGCUUGACAAAUUUUUGUAAUGCAUUGCAGGGUGGUGUCUAGGAGACCUAGUGCUUAAUAUCCGCGCAGCCAAGACAUUGAUGCUUUGGUUGCAGGUUCUGCGGAUAUAGAUAAUGACUCGUCCACCUAGCGUAUGGGAUAUUAUGAUUGGAGCACAUCGCGACAGUCAUAUGUCACAGACUCAUGGGUAGUCUGCAUUUGGGUAUUUUAUUUAUGGCUCGUGUCAUACGUGACAUAUGUAUUUGUUGAGCUCGUAUUUUAGUAUGUAAUUAGUGUAAUAUGUUUUAUAAGCUUUAAUCAGUUAGACAUGUAAAUGGCUCUUAUCGUCGAUAACAGUUAUAUAUUAGAUGUAUUUCCGCUA